GUGAACCAUUAAAGUUGUUGUCACAUUGUCAGGAUAAUGCAACUCCUGAUCAAUAUCAGUUCUCCUUCGAUCUGUUUAAUGUUUAAUGGAGAGCAUACAUUUCUCAACAGUGCCCUGACAUAUAUAAAUGAUAGCCCAAUGCAAAGACCUUGCUCUACUUCUUCAGAGAGUCACCUCUAAAUGUAACGUCACUGGCAUGCACUACAGCAAAGAGAAGGGAACUCAGAAGCAAUCGUCCCAAAUGGCUCUAUGCAUCUCACCAUUCCAUUGUGUCAGAAGAGCCUGGACAGGAGCAGCAGCCAUGUCAUUCAGAAAAUUCCCCAGAGCAUUCAGGAAUCAGGGGACACAGCUGGGUUAACACAGAGACAUACAGCCCAGCUGCCCAGACCUUGUUAUACACUCCAGGGUGGCCCUCUCAUGCGUGAUCAUACCAUGUGUGAUGGAUGGUUUACUCUGGGCAAACCUGGCUUUUAUCAACAACAGAGUAGGGGAUCAGUUGACCGGCAUCCCAGAUUCUGAAAUUCAGGAGGUCAAGAAGAUGAAGCAAUAGCUUUGAUGUAGCUAGCCCUCCUUGUCCCCUCUGUGUCCCACCUCCUUACCACCCUCUACCAACCACCAUAGGGAUGGCACACAUACUCUUCACCCCCCUUUCCUUGACACAAUAUACAUUUAUCAGACACAACCCCACAUCCCUCCCUCUGGUCUCCCAAGCAGGGCACAGUUACAUGUUGGGUCAAUGGGUCCCUCUCACUCCAGUAGAAUGAACUACUCCCUCUGUCUCUCACCACCCUGGAAAUGGUGAGACUGAACAUGUGCCCAGUCUUUACUCUUCACAAUAUGUAACAAUAUGAAAGAGUCACUAGAGACAGCCUGAGUGGGUUUGUGCUUCCUGGGAGGAGAGAGGAAUAAUAAAAGUAACAUAUACUGCCACUCACCAUCCAAGUCUAUGCUCCAACCGCAAACACAGAAGAACAAGAAUCAGAGAUUUUAUGGAGAAGUACAGGAAGAAAUUGAUCACACACCAAAAGAAGAUGUGCUGAGAAUCAUGGGGAACUGGAAUUAGGGAACAGAGAAGAACUAGGAAUUGUGGGGAAAUGGGGCUUAGGAGAUAGAAAUGCAGCAGGAGAAAGACUGACUGAAUUCCGUGAAGCCAAUAAUUUGUUUCUUGCAAACACAUUCUUUGAGCAACCAAAAAGACGACUGUACACAGAGACAUCACCAGAUGGUCAAUAUAGGAAUCAAAUUGAUUAUAUAAUUGGUAGCAGCAAAUGGAGAAGUUUCAUACUUUCUGCAAAAACAAGACCAGGAGCAGACUGUGGUACAGAUCAUGAAGUGGUCAUAUUGAAAAGUCAGAGUAAAGCCAGAGAAGAACAACAAAGCAAUCAAAAUGCCAAAACACAAUUUAAAUAACAUCCCAGAAAAAUAUAAAGAUCAAAUAAGGAACAUAUUUGAGGCUUUAAACCUAGCUGAUAGAGAACCAGAAGAAAUAUGUAUUGGAGACAUUAUCAGGGAAGGAUGUGUUGAGGAAAUUUCAAAUGGCAAAGAAUGCCCACUGCUCACCUCAAAGCACCCGGGCAGGAGUGCGAGCUGAGAUAGAAUCCUAAUUAUUCAUUUGGCUAAGAGCCACCCAGAUAUCAAGUAAGACACAGACAACUUCUUGAUCAAAAAGGGCUUUCACACUCACACGGGCACAACAGCCUGGCAAGGAUGAGAGCAACUCUUUAUUGUUCAGCAUGACAAUAUAUAGUAUUCUGAAACGUACUAUCAAUAAACAAAAUGUAACUAAAACAAGAGAAAAGUAA
This is a long non-coding RNA of Rhineura floridana, 1802 nucleotides long. RefSeq lists it as uncharacterized. Lineage: Eukaryota; Metazoa; Chordata; Lepidosauria; Squamata; Rhineuridae. The record is from RefSeq and is a predicted model, not a curated record. The transcript has 2 exons.